Molecule: ribosomal RNA, 740 nt
Filed under: uncultured bacterium
Lineage: Bacteria
Description: bacterial SSU rRNA
Rfam family: Bacterial small subunit ribosomal RNA
Source: RNAcentral
GUCGAACGGAUAUAGAUUAGAGCUUGCUUUGAUCUAUAUUAGUGGCGAAAGGGUGAGUAACGCGUGGGCAACCUACCCAGUACCGGGGAAUAACAACGGGAAACCGUUGCUAAUACCGCAUAACAUCUUCUUAAGACAUCUUAGGAAGAUCAAAGGAGAAAUCCAGUACUGGAUGGGCCCGCGUCCGAUUAGCUAGUUGGUGGGGUAAAGGCCUACCAAGGCGACGAUCGGUAGCCGAACUGAGAGGUUGAUCGGCCACAUUGGGACUGAGACACGGCCCAGACUCCUACGGGAGGCAGCAGUGGGGAAUAUUGCACAAUGGACGAAAGUCUGAUGCAACAACGCCGCGUGAAGGAAGAAGGUCUUCGGAUUGUAAACUUCUUUGAUCAGGGAAGAAUAAUGACAGUACCUGAAGAACAAGCCACGGCUAACUACGUGCCAGCAGCCGCGGUAAUACGUAGGUGGCGAGCGUUGUCCGGAAUUACUGGGUGUAAAGGGCGCGUAGGCGGGAAUGCAAGUCAGAUGUGAAAUCCCAAGGCUUAACCUUGGAACUGCAUCUGAAACUGUAUUUCUUGAGUGUCGGAGAGGAAAGCGGAAUUCCCCGUGUAGCGGUGAAAUGCGUAGAUAUGGGGAGGAACACCGGUGGCGAAGGCGGCUUUCUGGACGAUAACUGACGCUGAGGCGCGAAAGCGUGGGUAGCAAACAGGAUUAGAUACCCUGGUAGAAUCACUAGUGAAUUC